GACUAGUAGGAGAAGUCAUACAGAUGUGCCAGAGAGCCAGCGACUGAGAGCUGCCCAAAAGAACCGGGGACAAAGAUAACACGAGUGUCCUUGGAGACAGAGCUGUUUUUGAGAAGGGCUCCAUCGCCCAGGCUUCCCAUAAGGCUCCCAUGUGUGGGGAGAGAUGGCCAGUUUGCAGGAGUGGGAGGGAGGGCUAAGAGAGGUACAGCUGGAGGAGGCUCCACGGAAAGACUGUGGAAAUGUGGAAAGCAGGGAAAUGAAGAGGGACACGUCACUCGCAAACUGAAAUGCAGAGGGGGUGGUAAGGGGAAGAAAGGAGCAGGGAGGCAGAGAUUUGGAAGCUUCAUCACGGAAGAACUGGCCUCAAGAGCAAAGGAAAGAGUUUCCAUCCAAGGAUGUGAGAGAGCUGUCCCUGCUUGUCCAUCUGUGUUCUACCCUGAGAGUACUUUCCAGUGCAAUUCUGCAAAAGGGCAGAAGACAUAUUUGAAUUGGCUGGGCAUCUGGUUCCUGUUACAGAUGACUCCACAGACUUUUUCAGCUAGGAAUUUGUUAGUGAAUAUCCAUUUGCUGUCUACAAUUCCACCUAAGAGAGGGAAGAUUGCUCAUUUUCUGUGUGCCUGAGAGACAGGGAUAAGUCAAGAUCCUACAACAGCCAUCAUGGUGACUCUUCCUCUUUUCCUCCUCUUCAUCCUUUUGCCCUGCAGUAAAUCUCAGGACUUCCUGGACCAGCACCAGAAAUGGAACUACAGAGAAGGCGGUAGGAGAUCACAAUGGUGGUUCAGCAUGGGAGGUGUUCAGUAACUCAUUAUUUUGUCCUUGGAAUGAGAUAGACAGUGCUCAUUCAUGACUGCUCUUUUUUGAUUCCUGGGUAGCUGCUGGAGACUUCUGGAGAAAAAAAUACUUUUAGAAAUAAUCAGCUGGGGUAUCCAGUGACAUCAGAAAACCUGGGCACAUGGAGGCAGAGAAUUACACUGUGAGGGAGAGUUGCCCGCUUUUUAAUUUAUAUCCUUCAUGUGCUUAGUAUUUGGCAUUUCAUUGUGACUGAGUUUGUGAUGGGGAAUGGAAUCAAACUUGGAGCACUGGCUUGUAUUUCCUUGUGCUGACACAUUUGUUUUCCUCUCUUCCAUGAAUAUCCUGCUAACCUAGCUGACAAGGUUAACAUAGAAGGUGUUUACAGCAUUACUCAAACCCUCGAGAAAUGGGGAAAUGACAUCUUC
RNAcentral lists this long non-coding RNA (1217 nucleotides) under Lonchura striata (white-rumped munia). RNAcentral describes it as "domestica (Bengalese finch) lncRNA (ENSLSDG00000002125.1)". The record is from RNAcentral. Lineage: Eukaryota; Metazoa; Chordata; Aves; Passeriformes; Estrildidae.